RNAcentral lists this transfer-messenger RNA (411 nucleotides) under Candidatus Protochlamydia amoebophila. RNAcentral describes it as "Protochlamydia amoebophila Standard tmRNA". It matches the Rfam family "transfer-messenger RNA". From Rfam's summary of the family: Bacterial tmRNA, also known as 10Sa RNA or SsrA, is named for its dual tRNA and mRNA-like properties. Its role is to liberate the mRNA from a stalled ribosome. The record is from RNAcentral. Lineage: Bacteria; Pseudomonadati; Chlamydiota; Chlamydiia; Parachlamydiales; Parachlamydiaceae.
GGGGGUGUUACGGUUUCGACUAGGAAGUGAAAAAUUGAUUGCAUGCGGAGGAUAUCGGUUGGCCUCCUAAAAAAACCGGUAAAACAAUAAAUGCUAACAAUAGCAAUAUUUUUGCAGAAGCUAGAGCCCAAGAAGAGGCUCUUCUCGCUGCCGCUGCUGCGUAAGACCUAACAGUCUUGGUAGCCCGAUAGUCUGAAACUGGACCGAGGGUUUUAGAAUCUAUCGUCAUUUUCUUGGUAUGAAUUCUUUUUCUCGCCGCUUCUAGGGAAAAGUUUUCAAGAUUAAAUGAAGCAAACUAACUUCGAUUGUUGCGUUCUGCAUAGGAGUUGGGGAUUUUACAGAACGAUAAGCAUGUAGUGGUCAAUUCGUAAUUUGCCAAGGACGAGAGUUCAAUUCUCUCCACCUCCAAUU